This is a long non-coding RNA of Papaver somniferum (opium poppy), 1408 nucleotides long. RefSeq lists it as uncharacterized. The record is from RefSeq and is a predicted model, not a curated record. NCBI's taxonomy places the organism in Eukaryota, Viridiplantae, Streptophyta, Magnoliopsida, Ranunculales, Papaveraceae. The transcript has 3 exons.
UCCAGAAAUUCUCAAACACGACCGCCGCACAUACCCAUUCUCGGUGUUAUAAUACACAAACCCAUAUUUUUGAGAAAUUGUGUUUUCAUUUUUCUUCUUUCCAAACUAACUUAAAGGGAAAAUUUCCUUCAAAAUUAAAAAGUCAUUGUUCUUCAAUCUUCCUUCGCAGAACAGACACACAAAGAUCUUCAUUUCCAUCGUUGUCAUCGUCACCACCGUUUACAUUUCAAAGGAAAAUAAUUGGAGACGGAAUUGAAGACGAAUGAUGCAAGGGGAUUUUAUUCUCAAAUCAGAACCGACUGAUGCAAGGGAAAUUACUCUGCGUUUUGUUGUUUCAGAAUAUCACUCCAAUAUUUUUUCUUUAUGUCCGACUUUGAUUUUAGAUUUUAGAUUACUUAGAUCUGUUUUUCUUAGGGUUUUGAAGAUUAUCCGAGAUAUUCACAGUGGAAGGAGCUAUGCAAUUUUCCAGAUGAGUUUCCAGAACUUUCAGGCAAAGCAUAAAAGAGGUGGAAAGGAGACUUGACCCGUAUUUCUUAUCAUUCUGGCUGAAAGGAAAUGGGUUUUCAUUUCUACCACUCAGGUUUAGGGGUAUGUCCUGGACUUUCUUCUAAACUGCAGCUAGGAGUUGGUUUUCAUUUUUGUACUCUUCCUCAUUAUUCAUUAAUCUCAUCAAACAGAGCAUUGAAAACAAACCUAAGCUACGUCUAUUUUCUCUCUAGUGAAUUUCUCCAUCUUAAAUAGCCAGAGAGUAUGGGGACAGAUAUAGAACAAAGCCAAAAGGCAGGGUAUGCAACAAAAAAUUAUCACAGUCCACCACGGCAACCAUUUUUGGGCAUUGAAGAAUUAACGAAAUGGUCAUUUUAAUUGCUGAGUUUUUGCUACUCUUUUGUUUCUUUACAUUAUAGUUUCCAAUAUUAUCGGUUACAAAAGCCAAAUUGCUGGCGGUGAUGAUUGUGGCGGUGUCGGCGUCGGCGUAUUGCAUGGGCUGUUGGUGGCAUGAUCUUUGUUCUUGUUUACGUGCACGCCGGUACCUCUGUCGACAGAUCCGACGUACUUUUUUGUGUGAUUUUAAACCAAAAAGGAAUAUGGAGGGUGAUGGCCAGAUGGGAUUGGGGUUGAGGCUUGGGGUACCAAUGGAAGGACUGGAGUAUAAAGUUUUGUUAUGGACUUGAAUGGAUAGUCAGUAGUGGUGGUGGGACUGGCGACAUCACAUACGCACAUUGUGCUUCUUGUUUACUCUUUACACAAGUAGGAGAGUAGCAUUAUGGUCAAUUCACCUGGUCAUCACGUUUAGCAUCAAAUUCCAAUUUUUAUUUCUUUUGUGUGAUUUUCAUGAAUCUCUUAAUAAAAUGAUAAAGCUCGUGUAUUUUCCAAUUAUUCAUAUAAUACUUAUCAUUUUUUUUUAUGA